GAGACUCGAGUCCACAGUGUGGGGACACUGAAGUGAUAGUGCAGGUGCUUGUUAGAGUACAAGGGUACUGAGCGUGACUAAGACAAGAAGUCACUUGGAUGUCUAUCCACUCGUCAGUGACUUGCUUGAUGUUGCAGUAGUAUGACUGAUCCUUUGACCUGCGGUGCUUCGGCUGCUCACAGUGAGGUUAUUGUAGUUUGACUGCACAUACACAUGGUCUCUAGUCAUA
Molecule: long non-coding RNA, 229 nt
Filed under: Phoenix dactylifera (date palm)
Lineage: Eukaryota; Viridiplantae; Streptophyta; Magnoliopsida; Arecales; Arecaceae
Description: long non-coding RNA (PDAC_LNC010484)
Source: RNAcentral